AUUGAACGCUGGCGGCAUGCCCUACACACGCAAGUCGAACGGCAGCGGGGGAGAAGCUUGCUUUUCCUGCCGGCGAGUGGCGAACGGGUGAGUAAUACAUCGGAACGUGCCCUGUAGUGGGGGAUAACUAGUCGAAAGAUUAGCUAAUACCGCAUACGACCUGAGGGUGAAAGUGGGGGACCGCAAGGCCUCAUGCUAUAGGAGCGGCCGAUGUCUGAUUAGCUAGUUGGUGGGGUAAAGGCCUACCAAGGCGACGAUCAGUAGCUGGUCUGAGAGGACGAUCAGCCACACUGGGACUGAGACACGGCCCAGACUCCUACGGGAGGCAGCAGUGGGGAAUUUUGGACAAUGGGCGAAAGCCUGGUCCAGCAAUGCCGCGUGUGUGAAGAAGGCCUUCGGGUUGUAAAGCACUUUUGUCCGGAAAGAAAUGGCUCUGGUUAAUACCUGGGGUCGAUGACGGUACCGGAAGAAUAAGGACCGGCUAACUACGUGCCAGCCGCCGCCGUAA
RNAcentral lists this ribosomal RNA (508 nucleotides) under uncultured bacterium. RNAcentral describes it as "partial 16S ribosomal RNA". It matches the Rfam family "Bacterial small subunit ribosomal RNA", at positions 30 to 523 of the family's 1533-position model. The record is from RNAcentral.